CCUACGGGCGGCUGCAGUAGGGAAUUUUCGUCAAUGGGCGCAAGCCUGAACGAGCAAUGCCGCGUGAACGAGGAAGGUCUUCGGAUCGUAAAGUUCUGUUGAAAGGGAAAAAGAGCGGAGAGAGGAAAUGGUCUCCGAUUGAUAUUACCCUUCGAGGAAGUCACGGCUAACUACGUGCCAGCAGCCGCGGUAAUACGUAGGUGGCGAGCUUUAUCCGGAAUGAUUGGGCGUAAAGGGUGCGUAGUCGGCUUGGUAAGUCUGGAGUGAAAGGUACCGGCUCAACCGGUACAGGCCCUGGAAACUGGCGGGCUAGAGAGCAGGAGAGGGAGGUGGAACGCCAUGUGUAGCGGUAAAAUGCGUAGAUAUAUGGAAGAACACCAGUGGCGAAGGCGGCCGCCUGGCCUGUUACUGACGCUGAGGCACGAAAGCGUGGGGAGCAAAUAGGAUUAGAUACCCUAGUAGUC
Molecule: ribosomal RNA, 464 nt
Filed under: uncultured bacterium
Lineage: Bacteria
Description: partial 16S ribosomal RNA
Rfam family: Bacterial small subunit ribosomal RNA
Source: RNAcentral